AUUUCCACUGAGCCCCAACCAGGAUUACUCAAACUGCAGUCUUUUACCAGGAAUGUUUGUUCUGGAGCGCCACACCAUCUGGGGCAUGUAUGUUAGCUUCUUGCCAGCUCAUUGUCCUAACUGACCAUUACCUCUUAUUAGCCAUUAAAUAUUUCAGAAAACCAGUUACUGAAAAUGUCAUAGGACCGGCCUGCCUCAGAAAGCCAUCCACAGUUCAUUUUGUUUUGGUCUUAAACAGAGAAUGUGAUCCAUCAGAAAUUUUGCUAUCUGCAUAAAAAUUCAAAGAACCCUGAGAGUUUGGGGCAGUAUUUAUACUAUGAGGACAGUAUUUUACACUAGUUCUGUUUCCCCCCAAAACCUCAAAGGUCAAGAACUCACCAUACUAAUUAACGAUAGUUCAAUAAAAAUCCAACUAUAGUUCAAUAUGUCGAUUAUACCUCAAUAAGAAUAAAUAAGUAAGUAACAUCAUGUAUUUCAGGGCCUGUAUACUCCUUUCUACCUCAGGUUUGAUAUGGCUCAGCCAGGUACUAGCCUUGUCUGAAACCCAUUCAAAUGGAGGGCCCCACUCCUUUGUAUUCUUGUUUCAUGACUGUAUAUGUGUUUACCCAUCUCACUGAAUGCACAUUGAGGCUUAUCCCCAGAAAAAUACUGAGUGUAGUAUCCUGUGCCUUGAUGACAAUGUUCUAUAUUUAGAAGCUGUCAAAUUCUGAAUAAAUGUAUACUUUUCAAAAAUCAGAUUUCCUAAAAUAUUACAUGAGAAAGUAAUAAGGACAGUGCAUGGGAACAGUCCACAAUGAAGCUUCCACGCUCUCACACACAAAAAGAACUCAUGCUAUUUCCUAUCUGUGUGUAUCUGAUGCGUUUCUUACAUUGGACUAAACUGUGAUUCCAGUCUCUAUAACCUCUGCCUUCCCAGAUAAUAACACAGGAUGCAGAAUUAUUUCAUAUCUUCAUUUCCCUUGUACAUCUUACAUGGUAGAUAGGAAGAUCUCAAAUUCUUCCUACCUCAGAGAGCAUGCCUCUUUGUAACGUGACUUCGCUGCUGCUUCUAUCUCAGAAAGCAUGCCUCUUUGUAACGUGACUUUGCUGCUGCUUCCUAUCUCAGAAAGCAUGCCUCUUUGUAACGUGACUUUGCUGCUGCUUCUAUCUCAGAAAGCAUGCCUCUUUGUAACGUGACUUUGCUGCUGCUUCUAUCUAGAGGUGUUUAUUUUUCUGUUACUUUGAAUAUGGGCUGGUCUGUGACUUACUUUAAGAGAAUGUGGCAGAAGUGAUUUGUGAAUUCAGGUGUCUAGACCUUAAGAGGCCUUAGAGCUUCUGCUUUUGCCCUGUUGGAAUACUUCCCUGAGAUUUUCAGGUAAGGAAGCCAGUCAAGCCUACUGAAGAAAUAGAGGUCACAUGAAGACCUGACGUGACCCAGCUGACAGCCAACACCAACUACCGUAUUGGACACUCCAGCUGACUCUCCAAUGACCCAAAGUAAAGCAGCAGAAGAACCACCUUGCCAACCCACAGAAUAAUGAAAAACAAGCUGAGUGCAGUGCUGAAGUAUGGACACAUGAGGUAUUUCUGGAGUUGAAUUACUCCUGGAACCAGACUUUCACGCUGCCUUUACCCCCAGAUCUUCCGAAACUCCUUGGCCCUGCCUUUAUUCAACUUUAACUUUGGAGUCAGAGAGCUGAGGAUAGAAAGCAUUUCAUGGAUAUCUGAAAAUGGUCAGCCAGAUAUCUUCAGAACCCUUUGGAAAUGACCACCAGCAUUCUUUGGUGUUGGACCUGGAGCCCUGAAUUAACCAGAAAAGACAGGAGCUUGAUGCCUACAGAAAGCAUACAUUCUACUCUUGCACUUCAGACCCCACGUUUUAAGGGAGGACUAUGUUAUCCAUUGCUGGAAGAGGCAGGUAAAAGGCCAGGGUGAGAGUUCUAGGUCAGCAAAAGUCAUUCAGUGGACCAGGAUGACAAAGCUCUAUCAUCCUUUCAAGGUGGCUGUUGUCAGCUCCACAUCAGGGAGCUAGAUGGUAGAAAGGCAUGGAAGAGUAUACCAGUGUGAGAACUCUAGCACCUGGCCUCACCUGACUGCAGGGGAGCUUUGGAAACAGAGUUCAGCUGUGUGCUCAGGAAAAAAAGAAGGGAUUUUUGUGAGCAGCUUAAUGCCUUUGCCACAUGCACUAUACAAAUUUCUGCCUCAGGAAAAUAAAACAUACUAUAUAAACAGCUAUCAUGGCCUUUGGGAUUGUCACAAGCAUUCACACCUGUGAAGGGUAAGAAUUUGUUCUCCCCAAGCAUCUAUUUAUGCUUAAUCUCAGUAGGAGAGGGGAAAGGAAAGAAAUGGUUUGUUUCAAGGGGGAAUAAUAUAGAAGAUAAUAUUAAUUUGUAUAAAAUGUCUCAAAUUAUAGUAAUGCAGGAGUUAGGUCUUUUUUUAAAAUGCAUUUUAGUAUCAGAUAGUCUAUGUUGAGAAGAUUUUCUCUCUUCAGUUCUUCCAAUCUAUUGAGGAAGGAAAUAGGCCAAGGAAGUUAAACUUCUUUUCUCAGGGGGCCUAACUGUUGGCCCAGGCUGGGUUCCAAGAGCUGACACAAGGGAUGGUUAACUUGUGGGCUGUUCUUUUGCUGAAUAAAGAGAAGAAAAGAAGAAUUCCUAUGUCUGUUUCCCAGGCACAGGGAGGACCAGGAAGCAAGGAAAUCUCUGAUUUUCAAGUCCACUGAGCAGAAUACAAGAACAGGGUCCAAAAUAAAGAGUUCUCCAUUGAGAACCAGCAAGAUGGAGCAAUCAAGUCCUGUGGGCAGGCUGAGCCUGGAAAGAAGCCCAGAGGCCAUGGCAUGCUUGGGAGGGAGGUUUCUCUGGACCCUUCAGGAACUGAGACUUUGACAUUCCAACCCUGCUGUUUGCUUGAGGUUUGUCCACUCCCUCCGUUUGGAGAAGAGUAAUCUGAAGCUAAAUCACAUGUGUUAUAAGAAUGCUCAUCCAUAGCAAAUCAGGAAGAGAAGACAAAACAAAAGAAAAAUUCACAAACAAAAUUAGUAGAAUCACCUGUAGGACCUAUGUUGAAAGAGAAAUUAGCUUUCAUGAAGAAGAGAUGUUAUGGCAUGGCCUGGGAAUUAAGCACACUGAAUUUGGAUUUUAAAAGGGUUUGAUUCAAUUCCUAUUUCUGCUACCAAGUAGCCUGUGACUUUGGGAAAGUGGUCUAUACUUUUUAAAUCUAAGUUCCUAUUCUGUAAAAUGUGAAAUAAAAAUAAUACCUAACUCAUGUUUUCCUUUUAAAAAAAAUUUAAAUCAAAGAACGUUCAACUGUAUUUGAUAAGGUAUAAGAACUCAACAAAUACUAGCUGAAAAUAUUUUUAAAAAUUGACUUUUUCUUUUCUUUCUUUCUGGAUAUAAAACCUGUCCCUUAUAUCUAAAAAUCAAUCAAUCAAUCAAACUUCACCCCCUUCGCACCCGACCUUUUGGACUCUACUGAGUACAAGAUGAGGGUUAUGACAACAGAUACAUCUAGAAAAAUAUAUGUUAAUUUAAGACAUUUCCUUUUAGACAUGAGUGUUCUGCAAAUGUAGGUAUAUUUCUAAGAUCUUAAGGAAACAAAUACUAUAAAAACAUGACAUAGUUCAAGUAAUGUAGAAAAAAUAUCCGCAGAGUUUCAGCAUUCUUUCAUAUGAGAUGUACUAUAUGCUAAGAAUUCAUGACUCUCUGCAGUUUAUUUCAUAUUUCCCAAAUAGGCCAUCUUUUCUAUUACUCUGCCCAGAUCAGUAUAAAUUUUAUUUUCAAGGACUCCCAGUGCUUUCUUAGAAACCCAUCAUCACUGGGCAUGCCAGUACAUCUUCAGGCAAACUGUGAGAACAGUAUUAGUUGGCAAUUGUAGGAACAAAAGAAGAUUUUUCUAAAGGUGAUGAGGCAGAAAAGGAAAGCAGAUGCCUCUGAGGAACAGGGAGAAAUGUCAAAGGAAUUGGUCUAUCUUCUUGGCACCCUCAGGCUUGAAGAUGAGGGGGAUUGCCAAUUCAUUGCCUAAUGAAAACCGAGAGGGAAAGAUCCAGCUGAUUGCUCACUAAAGAUGCCUUGGAAAAGGAACUUGACAGUCUUGGGGAAGAGGAGUUGCAACAUAAAUUGGGAGGCAUAUAAAAUUCACUGCUGUGAUGAAAUUUGAGAGACUUCUCAAAGGUGCUGGAAAAAUUAGUGGUAUCUUCAAAUUAGCACAAAACUGUUUCAUAAAAAUGAUAUUAAUAUUUAUUAAGCCUUGUUAUGUAUCCUAUACUGUGCUGAGUCCUUUAUAUGCUUUAUUUCAGUAUUGUCCCAUUAUACAGACUGGGAAGCUGAGGUUUGCAGAAGUUAAGCCCUAAUCUUAAGUAACUUCAUGGAAGGAAUGUAGAGUAUAGAGUAUAGAGCAAAAGUCAUUUACUCAAAACCUAGCUAGGCAAAGAGGUCAGCUCAAUGAUACUUAAAUUCUAAGAAAACUUUGCUCACAUCCUCUUGGAUAAAUUAAUAACUAGUUUUAUGUCAGGGAAGGCAUGUUUCUCUGAGGUCGUGUUGCAGCACUUUCCAAAGGGUUUCCCUCAAAGGUGUUUCAUCUAUUAGUAUCAGCAAAGAUCUCGCAGAAUGGUGCAUUUUUGGCAGUUGUUACCUCAAGCUUUUGUUGAGUCAUUCCCUGUAGAAAUAAUUCCCUGAUUCAUCAGAUCUGUUUUUACCAUUAAUUAUAUUUAACAUCUGACAUCUUCUUUACCCCUUAUACAUAUCACUAAAUACCAGGGAGAAAAUAAGCCAAACCCAGCUUAAGCUUAAAAUAAUAGUCAAUUAUUAGUGAUUUAAAAUGAAAUUUUAAUAACUCCAACAUCCCAUUUAGUAAAACAAAAUCUUACAUUUCAUAAGGUAAAAAGAAUAUUAAACAUUUUUUUAACAUGUGAUGCUAUUUUCAUUCACAAGUUACAUGAUACAAAUUGUAUGCUUUUACAUACAGAAAAAAUGUUUAAUGUGAUCAUUCUAAGUACAAUAAUCAGCAAGAAAGUAUCUGCUAAAAAUUAGCUGCCUUUUGGAGUUUCUGCUAUGGCACAGCAGGUUAAGGGUUUAGCAUUUCCACAGCUGUGGCAUAGGUCCAUAUGCUGCAGGUCCACCAAAAAAAAAUUAGCUGCCUUUCUAGAUCCUCAUGGAACUCUGAAAUGAUUUAUAAUAAACAGCUAAAGCUUCUAAAAUUGUCACUAAUGUUUGUAUAAUAAAGGGUGCCCUGGUCUUUAAUUGAUAAUGGUUAGUAUUUGAACUUUGAUGUGUAGAAGAAGAUGUUAGCAGCUUUGUAUCAGAUAGCCUCACUUAGAAACUUUUUUAUUCCUAUUGAUAAAACAAAAGUACCCGGGGUGAACAUGUUUUUGCCAGCACAGCAUCCCUUCUCCUUGGCUUGAUAAUAAGCCCUCUGAUUUUCUGGGGGAUCUACCCAUCUCCAUCAUGGUGGGCUCAUUAAACUAUGGAUCAAAGUGCAGGUGGGGUGGGUUGGCCCUUCUCCUUAUCCCAACUCUCACUUUCCAAGACCAAUUAAAUAGAAGUCCUAGGAAUUUGGCCCAAGGACAAAACAUGGUUGGAGCUGAGUCUUUUGAUUACAACUCCCCAAAGAGACUGUCUCUGUUUCUUCACCCAGAUCUCUGCCACUGUCCUGCUUAUGUCUGGAAGUCUGAUUGUACUUCCAUUUCUUAGAUAUCAGGAGCUACUCCACAUUCCCCCAUUACAUUCCCACUCAAGUUGGUCCAUUUUUGCUGUUUGCAUUAAUUGGUUUCGUACAUUUUUUUUUUCAGAUUCAUUUACCAUCAAACAAUUUUUUUCUUUUUUUUUUCUUUUAUUUUCCCACUGCACAGCAAGGGGAUCAAGUUAUCCUUAUAUGUAUACAUUU
Sus scrofa (pig) is the source of this 5856-nucleotide RNA transcript. It is a transcript of the gene named PC-esterase domain-containing protein 1B-like, with no coding region annotated. Lineage: Eukaryota; Metazoa; Chordata; Mammalia; Artiodactyla; Suidae. The record is from RefSeq and is a predicted model, not a curated record.